UGCCAGCAGCCGCGGUAAUACGGAGGGUCCGAGCGUUAAUCGGAAUUACUGGGCGUAAAGGGUGCGUAGGCGGCCCAUCAAGUUAGACGUGAAAGCCCCGGGCUCAACCUGGGAAUUGCGUUUAAUACUGGUGAGCUAGAGUACGAGAGAGGAAAGUGGAAUUCCUAGUGUAGAGGUGAAAUUCGUAGAUAUUAGGAAGAACACCAGUGGCGAAGGCGGCUUUCUGGCUCGUAACUGACGCUGAGGCACGAAAGCGUGGGGAGCAAACAGGAUUAGAUA
This 279-nucleotide ribosomal RNA is filed under the name uncultured bacterium. RNAcentral describes it as "partial 16S ribosomal RNA". It matches the Rfam family "Bacterial small subunit ribosomal RNA", at positions 506 to 784 of the family's 1533-position model. The record is from RNAcentral.